UUGAUUUUCGUUUUUGCUGUCUCCCCUCCCUUCUCAAUGUGUUUUUUCCUGAUAAUGAAUUAUUAUGAACUGAUAAGGGGAUUUGCCGUGCAUAAUUAAUUAAAAUAAUAGGUAUAAAUGAUCCAUUGAUCCAUCACUAGGCAAUUCAUUCGUAGAUAGAGAUACGAGCCAGACGAAACACGUUUCCUAAAGGGCUGAAGAAUUUUUUGUCGAAGCGAUUCGAGUUGAAUAGAUUGGACGAUAAAAUAAAUUCAACAUAAUCCAUCGUGAAAAAUGAAUCUCAAUGUGAGAACCGCUGAACUGAUAGAAAAGACAAAUAACUACGCCAGUCAUAUGACAUUAGACGAAUACCUACAUAGUUGUCCCCCAUCCAUUCAUCAUCCUGCAAGAACACUCUGAAAACGAGCAGAUCAGCGGCGUAGUCGUAAUCAAGUUUCCAGGUAUCUAGACCUACCGAAAAAACCGAACGAAAUGAUGAACUGAACUGCAGCCCACUCAGUUGAAUUUGCUAAUUCAACCUAUACGUUAGCGUUAGAUGAUGAUCAUAUAACGAAUAAUCGAUCAGUUCACAAUACGAGUACUUACAAAUUGAAUCUCAAAUUUCAUUAUAGAAAAAUUUUCUUCAUCCUUCCUUUCGUGAUUUCUAAUCCAUUACGGGAAUCUCUGAACUGAAAUAUAAAACAUCAAGUUACCAGCGAAGUGAAUUCAAGAGCUCGAUUAUUGUUCAAUAUUCAUCUUGUAUCAUUAUUG
Planococcus citri (citrus mealybug) is the source of this 750-nucleotide long non-coding RNA. RefSeq lists it as uncharacterized. NCBI's taxonomy places the organism in Eukaryota, Metazoa, Arthropoda, Insecta, Hemiptera, Pseudococcidae. The record is from RefSeq and is a predicted model, not a curated record. The transcript is spliced from 3 exons.